AAGACAUACAGUUACAAUGGGAACAUAUUUUGUAUCAGUAGACAUUUCAUUUCCCUUGAACUAGAAACAUAAACUAGUGUUUGAUGUGAGGAAAUAAAGAAAUCAAGAAUGAGGCAAGUACUUGAUAUGCUUCACUUCAACUUUGAAUCAGUUUUAUAUGCCAGAGUGAUAGUAAAUACUGUGGACCCUGGCUCAACAUCAGUUCUGAAACACCUGCUGUGUCAGUGCCAGACUGUGACCCCCACACACAACCCCCUCCCAAGCUUGAGCUGGAUGAUCAAGUCUCCAACACUGGAGCUACAUGUCUUGCUCUUCUACAAUUAUAUCUUCCUGCCAGUGAACUGAGAACUGCCCACCCGCUGAGCUCCUGGAGAGCCUACUUUGCAACUCAAUCUAACUGAACCAAGCAACAGAUCCCAGUUCUCUUUUCAGGAACCCAGUAACCAGUGGCUGCUAUCGGGUAUAGUUGUCACUGGAACAAGAGUCCUGAAUAUGGAAAGAAUGACUCAAGGACACUGUCUUGGUGGGGCUCCACAGAAAACGGAAGAUGGUAUUCAGCAUGGACUCUCCUUGGACCUUUAAGUAUUUAUCCUGGAGACCACCACCAGUGUUAGCUAGGGCACAGAGUCGGGUGACACCCACCAGCUACCCACGACACCCGCCACAGUAUCUUAAGACUUCUGGUGAGUGGAACACAGCGUCUGCUCCAAUCCAAUCGUGCCAGACCUGAGGCUGCAUUAGUUAGUGAAGCAGAAAACCUGGCCUGAGUAGGGCACAAGCCCCUUCCCGU
Mus caroli (Ryukyu mouse) is the source of this 790-nucleotide non-coding RNA. Lineage: Eukaryota; Metazoa; Chordata; Mammalia; Rodentia; Muridae. The record is from RefSeq and is a predicted model, not a curated record.